Molecule: ribosomal RNA, 477 nt
Filed under: Trigonopterus sculptirostris
Lineage: Eukaryota; Metazoa; Arthropoda; Insecta; Coleoptera; Curculionidae
Description: SSU rRNA
Source: RNAcentral
CAACCUGGUUUGAUCCUGCCAGUAGUCAUAUGCUUGUCUCAAAGAUUAAGCCAUGCAUGUCUCAGUACAAGCCAAAUUAAGGUGAAACCGCGAAAGGCUCAUUAAAUCAGUUAUGGUUCCUUAGAUCGUACCCACAAUUACUUGGAUAACUGUGGUAAUUCUAGAGCUAAUACAUGCAAACAGAGCUCCGACCGGAGACGGAAGGAGUGCUUUUAUUAGAUCAAAACCAAUCGGUGGCGGGUUCGCUCGUUAUCGUACAACUUGGUGACUYUGAAUAACUUUACGCUGAUCGCACGGUCAUCGCACCGGCGACGCAUCUUUCAAAUGUCUGCCUUAUCAACUGUCGAUGGUAGGUUYUGCGCCUACCAUGGUUGUAACGGGUAACGGGGAAUCAGGGUUCGAUUCCGGAGAGGGAGCYUGAGAAACGGCUACCACAUCCAAGGAAGGCAGCAGGCGSGCAAAUUAMCCACUCCCGGC